UACGGGGGGGGCAAGCGUUGUUCGGAAUUACUGGGCGUAAAGGGCUCGUAGGCGGCCAACUAAGUCAUACGUGAAAUCUCCCGGCUUAACUGGGAGGGUGCGCCGAAGACUGCGAUGCUGGAGUAUGGGAGAGGAAAGCGGAAUUCCUGGUGUAGCGGUGAAAUGCGUAGAUAUCAGGAGGAACACCUGCGGUGUAGACGGCUUUCUGGACCAUUACUGACACUGAGACACGAAAGCGUGGGUAGCAAACAGG
Molecule: ribosomal RNA, 253 nt
Filed under: uncultured bacterium
Lineage: Bacteria
Description: partial 16S ribosomal RNA
Rfam family: Bacterial small subunit ribosomal RNA
Source: RNAcentral